UGUUAGCGGCGGACGGGUGAGUAACACGUGGGUAACCUGCCUGUAAGACUGGGAUAACUCCGGGAAACCGGGGCUAAUACCGGAUGCUUGUUUGAACCGCAUGGUUCAAACAUAAAAGGUGGCUUCGGCUACCACUUACAGAUGGACCCGCGGCGCAUUAGCUAGUUGGUGAGGUAAUGGCUCACCAAGGCGACGAUGCGUAGCCGACCUGAGAGGGUGAUCGGCCACACUGGGACUGAGACACGGCCCAGACUCCUACGGGAGGCAGCAGUAGGGAAUCUUCCGCAAUGGACGAAAGUCUGACGGAGCAACGCCGCGUGAGUGAUGAAGGUUUUCGGAUCGUAAAGCUCUGUUGUUAGGGAAGAACAAGUACCGUUCGAAUAGGGCGGUACCUUGACGGUACCUAACCAGAAAGCCACGGCUAACUACGUGCCAGCAGCCGCGGUAAUACGUAGGUGGCAAGCGUUGUCCGGAAUUAUUGGGCGUAAAGGGCUCGCAGGCGGUUUCUUAAGUCUGAUGUGAAAGCCCCCGGCUCAACCGGGGAGGGUCAUUGGAAACUGGGGAACUUGAGUGCAGAAGAGGAGAGUGGAAUUCCACGUGUAGCGGUGAAAUGCGUAGAGAUGUGGAGGAACACCAGUGGCGAAGGCGACUCUCUGGUCUGUAACUGACGCUGAGGAGCGAAAGCGUGGGGAGCGAACAGGAUUAGAUACCCUGGUAGUCCACGCCGUAAACGAUGAGUGCUAAGUGUUAGGGGGUUUCCGCCCCUUAGUGCUGCAGCUAACGCAUUAAGCACUCCGCCUGG
This 802-nucleotide ribosomal RNA is filed under the name Bacillus subtilis. Its description in RNAcentral is "bacterial SSU rRNA". It matches the Rfam family "Bacterial small subunit ribosomal RNA", at positions 90 to 876 of the family's 1533-position model. Lineage: Bacteria; Bacillati; Bacillota; Bacilli; Caryophanales; Bacillaceae. The record is from RNAcentral.